This 312-nucleotide ribosomal RNA is filed under the name uncultured Coriobacteriaceae bacterium. RNAcentral's name for it is "bacterial SSU rRNA". It matches the Rfam family "Bacterial small subunit ribosomal RNA", at positions 28 to 339 of the family's 1533-position model. The record is from RNAcentral. Lineage: Bacteria; Bacillati; Actinomycetota; Coriobacteriia; Coriobacteriales; Coriobacteriaceae.
GAUGAACGCUGGCGGCGUGCUUAACACAUGCAAGUCGAACGAUUAACCCAUCUUCGGAUGGUUAUAGAGUGGCGAACGGGUGAGUAACACGUGAUCAACCUACCUUUCACAUUGGGAUAACUAUUGGAAACGAUAGCUAAUACCAAAUACUCCUGGGGUUCCGCAUGGCGCCCUAGGGAAAGCUCCGGCGGUGAAAGAUGGGAUCGCGGUCCAUUAGGUAGUUGGUGGGGUAACGGCCUACCAAGCCCGCGAUGGAUAGCCGGGUUGAGAGACUGAUCGGCCACAUUGGGACUGAGAUACGGCCCAGACUCC